Long non-coding RNA from Macrobrachium nipponense, 1757 nucleotides. RefSeq lists it as uncharacterized. Lineage: Eukaryota; Metazoa; Arthropoda; Malacostraca; Decapoda; Palaemonidae. The record is from RefSeq and is a predicted model, not a curated record. The transcript is spliced from 3 exons.
UCCGUCAGCCGUAAGUUCGUAACACCGUUGUGGGCGGUGGACGUUUAAAAGGAGUUUGCUAAACAGUCGUUUUUCCUCUAGAGUGGCGUACUCAAUUCUUCAUUAAUUUAUCGUAGCGUAAUUGGUUCCUGCUGUGAAGUGUUUACGAAAAUUUUCGUUAAUCGUGCGACUAGACUACAGUUGGCACUUGUGAAUCCAAUCUGUUGUGGUCACUUCGUCGAUCAAGGUAUUACAAACCUCGGACCUCGGCAAGGAUGUUUUUGGUAAGAGUUUGACUUUGAAUUCCUGUUCUAACGGUAAAGCUUCACGCAUGAUAAAAGCUGCUCACUUUGGCAACAGGGUCUUGUCGCAGGUUGAGAUGCGAGUGAAGUGGCUCAUUGGUUGGUGGUACCGGUGGGCAGUUACUGACUUGACGUCUCGAGAGCUUUGCCAUCUUUGUCUUAUUUUGGCAUUGCAUUGAAAUGUCGAUGAUGACGUUAAUGGAGAAGGUCUUCGAUGUCGUAUGGUAUUGUCGUGACCAUGUAAUGGUGUACGUGACACCUAGCUGGGCAGAGCUGAGCUUCUGGACAUUUCGAUCUUACAACAAGAGAAAGUGAGACUAUAUUAUAGUGAGGAGACUUUGGUGACAGUUGGUUACCGUUGGUACGUAGGUUCAUGCACGCCUUCCAGGUUUUUUGCAAGUGAUACUGUAGUAUGUUAUGUUGUAACUCGCCUGACCAAGACUGGUGUAUUGUCAUUUGCUUUGCAAAUGUUUAGAGCUCUCCGUGAAGAGAAAGGACCACUUUUCAUACUGUUUCCCAAACUGCAUUUUAAUUUUCUUGGAUCUACGCGAAGUUAAGCUUACUUUUAAAAGACUUCAUUUCUCUGUAAAGUACGUAUCUUCAUGAUUUGGAUGUUAUCAAGAAUCCAGGACUUGAUAGUCACUUUUAAUAUGUAUGUGUAUGUAAAGUAUUCAUGAGUUCACUAAGUAUUAUAUAGUACUUGCAUCAAUUACUGUUAAAUUACACAAUUUUUAAUCAGUUCAUUAAGUUAUCAAUUUUUAUCCAUUAGCCUUUGUUGUACUGGGUUGUCCAUGGAAUAUUGAGAAAGGUGGUUUUUGUAUGAAGAUCCGUGACACUGUGCACAAACAAUAACUUUGUUAUUCAUGAACACAAAUUAUGUUUGAUACCCAUGCGUAAGCAGUGAGUCAAUGCAGUUACUCUUGAAUACUAGCAAUCUGUACCGGAUUAAAACCCUUUGGACUUCUUAGGUUAAGGAUGCAGAAGGGGGGCCGGUCAGGCGAGCGAAGCUAGCCAAAUCCGCUUGGGUACUUUAAAUAUGAGCAAUUCAGUUACUUUGAAGUUAUGUGCAAAGCAGUAAAUAGGAAAAUGGAGCAAUACACUAUUAAGAUUAACCUAACUUACAUAAAGAAUUCACAUUAAUAAUUCACAUUAAUGACAAUCUGGUAAAAAGACUAGGGUAAAAAGACAAACUUGAAAUAACAUGAGACUUAAUUAAAAAUAAGCAACUUAACCAGGAUUUGCACCAACAAAUUUAUCACUAUUUUGCAAAUCUUAAUUGCCAGGUCGUGCUCAAAGCUUAUUAAACUCGACCAGUUAAGGCGGUUUUGUCCUAUGGCAAUCAGGUCUUUGAUCAUAUUUACAAGUAUACCAUUUUUACUAUAAUACCUGGAAGGUUUGAAGGGCCAGCAGGUAGUUAAUGCCUGUACUAAGAUACAUUUUGAAAUACAGUAUACUAAAGGAGUGGUGUCUUUUUGC